CUCAAACUCCUGAGCUCAAGAGAUCCUCCCGCUUUAGCCUCCAGAGUAGCUGGGUCUAUAGACAUAAGCCAUCAUGCCCUGAGGGUCAGCUGCAGCCCUGUUUUAGAAAUAGUAUGGACUCAGGGGCUAGAACAGCGGCCAGAAUUCUAGCUUUCUCCUCUUCAUGUGUGCUUCGUUCAUCAUUUUUGCAGAUUGGCAUCCUCUGCUUCUUGAAUCCCCAUGCAGAAAAUAUGGCUACCAACAGCUUCUGAAUCUACCUGCAGAGAGACUGACUGCUCUGUUAUUUUCCCAGCAUCUGUGAAAAGACUCUGACUGUCUAAAAUGUUGGUAUAGUGAUCACCCCAGGGUUAAGCAACCAUGACUGGUGAAAAGGAAAAACGUUAUGAACCUGGCUAUUCAGAGCCACCUGAGGAAGCUUGUAGGAGAAGGUGUCAGUUUACAGAGAAAGGGGAGUCCUGGGCAGAUGAUACAAGAGGUGCCCAUUACAUCCUUCUAGAGGAAGGAUUCUGUAGCUUUAGGGGAAGACAGAGCCACAAGAUGAAAGGAGCUUGGAUCUCCGAACUAUUCCAUGGAAAAAAGCUGCAGUCAAUGAAGAACACCUGCAAUGGACUCUUAACCUGGGGGUGAUGACAACCACUGAAAUGUUUACUGCACUUGCCUCUAGCAAGUUAUGGAAUUCUGCGCCACUCAAAUCCUCUAUCUGUUGCAAAAAUGUGCAUCUCAAGAUGGUGCUCUUGAGCUGUGGUGGAACAUCUUCAGACAGACACUGUGGGACCCACAAUGAAGCAACUGAGAAAAAGGACACCACUAAAGAACCACCAGGGUGCAGCAUUCCUGAGUGGCAGAAGCCAUGCAGGAAAUCGCAAUGCUGCACCUUAGUCCAGGGAUUUUUAAAGUGUGGUUCCUGAAAGAGCUGUCUCAGAGUCAUCCGUGUUGGUGGUGUAAUGUAAAGAUUUUCAGGCCUCAAGACUGAAGUAGGACAAGGAAUUUGAAUUUUUAAGCAGCUCACCUGACUUGUCUGUCCUCUAAUAUCUGAGAACACCUGACUUCUGCUCUUUCAGUAAAGGCAACAAUGGUUUUAUGAGCACUGUCGUCACAUCUCUCCACUCUAGGGAUCCUUCUCAUUUCUCCCAGACGAGGUCACCCACAGCUGCUGCUUCUAACUGCUGGCUUCCAGCCUGCUGUCUGCCAGCUGGCUCUACCCUCUCCUAUAACACAGCAGAGAGUAGCUGUGAUCUCCUGUGUGCUCACCCUCCGCUUCCUUGGGUCCAUGUUUUGGUCCUGCACUUAAAUUUUACAAGCAUAUUCUCUUUCUCUUAAGGUAAGCAACCAUUUUAAAUCUCAGCAGUAAAUAAAACAAAAAAUCACCAGGAAACUAUAUCAAAUCA
This is a non-coding RNA of Chlorocebus sabaeus (green monkey), 1388 nucleotides long. The record is from RefSeq and is a predicted model, not a curated record. NCBI's taxonomy places the organism in Eukaryota, Metazoa, Chordata, Mammalia, Primates, Cercopithecidae.